This 371-nucleotide ribosomal RNA is filed under the name uncultured organism. Its description in RNAcentral is "bacterial SSU rRNA". It matches the Rfam family "Bacterial small subunit ribosomal RNA", at positions 526 to 896 of the family's 1533-position model. The record is from RNAcentral.
CGGAGGGAGCUAGCGUUGUUCGGAAUUACUGGGCGUAAAGCGCACGUAGGCGGCUUUGUAAGUCAGAGGUGAAAGCCUGGAGCUUAACUCCAGAACUGCCUUUGAGACUGCAUCGCUUGAAUCCAGGAGAGGUGAGUGGAAUUCCGAGUGUAGAGGUGAAAUUCGUAGAUAUUCGGAAGAACACCAGUGGCGAAGGCGGCUCACUGGACUGGUAUUGACGCUGAGGUGCGAGAGCGUGGGGAGCAAACAGGAUUAGAUACCCUGGUAGUCCACGCCGUAAACGAUGAUAACUAGCUGUCGGGGCACUUGGUGCUUCGGUGGCGCAGCUAACGCUUUAAGUUAUCCGCCUGGGGAGUACGGCCGCAAGGUUA